GUCGCGGAUACGUAUGCCGUUUCAUGUC
This 28-nucleotide small RNA is filed under the name Bombyx mori (domestic silkworm). RNAcentral describes it as "ovarian small RNA-17787". Lineage: Eukaryota; Metazoa; Arthropoda; Insecta; Lepidoptera; Bombycidae. The record is from RNAcentral.